RNAcentral lists this unclassified non-coding RNA (525 nucleotides) under Hevea brasiliensis (rubber tree). The record is from RNAcentral. Lineage: Eukaryota; Viridiplantae; Streptophyta; Magnoliopsida; Malpighiales; Euphorbiaceae.
GAACUGGAUCAUGCCCUGGAGUCAAAGUUCUGAACAAAACGAAGAUAGAAAGCACCAUUAAGUUCCUUUUUAAAUAAAUAAAUCAUUAAGAAAACCAUAAAUAACUAAAACUAACCAAACAAAAAUUACUUAUUCAUUUCCUUGUCCAUUUGCAAACCCAAGAAAACUUCAAAUAUCAAUUUGCAAAGCCAAGAAAAAUCAAAGACCGAAAAUCCAAAAACCAAAUAAACAUUACGUAUCCUUGUAAGGGUAUUUUAUUGUGCUCCAAUUGCUUUUAAAUCCAAGUCAGUUUACUAUUGUUCAUUCACUGUCUGUUUCUGUAAAACAAAUAAAAUAAGAUUAAGAAAAAUAAUCAUGACUUGUUCUCUGCCUUCAGUUUCUUCAAUUUCCACGUGCUGUUAGGUUUUUCUUUCCUUUGAACUUCUUUAAUUCAUAUCAGCAGACCUUUCAAAAAAAUUGUGUACACAUAUUUAUGGGCUAUUCACUUACCCGCAAAUAGCGUGGCCAACUUCAUGAUAUGCAACA